Molecule: ribosomal RNA, 254 nt
Filed under: uncultured bacterium
Lineage: Bacteria
Description: partial 16S ribosomal RNA
Rfam family: Bacterial small subunit ribosomal RNA
Source: RNAcentral
GACGAACCGUGCGAACGUUAUUCGGAAUCACUGGGCUUAAAGCGCGUGUAGGCGGGCCGGCACGUCGGCCGCUGAAAUCCCCCGGCUCAACCGGGGAAGCGGCGCCGAUACGACCGGCCUGGAGGGGAGUAGGGGGGCCUGGAACUUCCGGUGGAGCGGUGAAAUGCGUUGAGAUCGGAAGGAACGCCCGUGGCGAAAGCGAGGCCCUGGACUCCUGCUGACGCUGAGACGCGAAAGCCAGGGGAGCGAACGGG